UGGGGAAUAUUGCACAAUGGGCGCAAGCCUGAUGCAGCCAUGCCGCGUGUAUGAAGAAGGCCUUCGGGUUGUAAAGUACUUUCAGCGGGGAGGAAGGUGUUGAGGUUAAUAACCUCAGCAAUUGACGUUACCCGCAGAAGAAGCACCGGCUAACUCCGUGCCAGCAGCCGCGGGAAUACUGAGGGGGCAAGUGUUAAUCGGGAUUACUGGGCGUAAAGCGCACGCAGGCGGUCUGUCAAGUCGGAUGUGAAAUCCCCGGGCUCAACCUGGGAACUGCAUUCGAAACUGGCAGGCUAGAGUCUUGUAGAGGGGGGUAGAAUUCCAGGUGUAGCGGUGAAAUGCGUAGAGAUCUGGAGGAAUACCGGUGGCGAAGGCGGCCCCCUGGACAAAGACUGACGCUCAGGUGCGAAAGCGUGGGGAGCAAACA
RNAcentral lists this ribosomal RNA (427 nucleotides) under uncultured bacterium. RNAcentral's name for it is "partial 16S ribosomal RNA". It matches the Rfam family "Bacterial small subunit ribosomal RNA", at positions 355 to 774 of the family's 1533-position model. The record is from RNAcentral.